Molecule: ribosomal RNA, 240 nt
Filed under: uncultured bacterium
Lineage: Bacteria
Description: partial 16S ribosomal RNA
Rfam family: Bacterial small subunit ribosomal RNA
Source: RNAcentral
GCACAAGCAGUGGAGUAUGUGGUUUAAUUCGACGCAACGCGAAGAACCUUACCAAGUCUUGACAUCCUGCGACGCACAUAGAAAUAUGUGUUUCCUUCGGGACGCAGAGACAGGUGGUGCAUGGUUGUCGUCAGCUCGUGUCGUGAGAUGUUGGGUUAAGUCCCGCAACGAGCGCAACCCUUAUGGUCAGUUACUACGCAAGAGGACUCUGGCCAGACUGCCGUUGACAAAACGGAGGAA